AGCGUACACGGUGGAUGCCCUGGCAGUCAGAGGCGAUGAAGGACGUGCUAAUCUGCGAUAAGCGUCGGUAAGGUGAUAUGAACCGUUAUAACCGGCGAUUUCCGAAUGGGGAAACCCAGUGUGAUUCGUCACACUAUCAUUAACUGAAUCCAUAGGUUAAUGAGGCGAACCGGGGGAACUGAAACAUCUAAGUACCCCGAGGAAAAGAAAUCAACCGAGAUUCCCCCAGUAGCGGCGAGCGAACGGGGAGCAGCCCAGAGCCUGAAUCAGUGUGUGUGUUAGUGGAAGCGUCUGGAAAGGCGUGCGAUACAGGGUGACAGCCCCGUACACAAAAAUGCACAUAUUGUGAGCUCGAUGAGUAGGGCGGGACACGUGGUAUCCUGUCUGAAUAUGGGGGGACCAUCCUCCAAGGCUAAAUACUCCUGACUGACCGAUAGUGAACCAGUACCGUGAGGGAAAGGCGAAAAGAACCCCGGCGAGGGGAGUGAAAAAGAACCUGAAACCGUGUACGUACAAGCAGUGGGAGCACAGAGCAAUCUGUGUGACUGCGUACCUUUUGUAUAAUGGGUCAGCGACUUAUAUUCUGUAGCAAGGUUAACCGAAUAGGGGAGCCGAAGGGAAACCGAGUCUUAACUGGGCGUUAAGUUGCAGGGUAUAGACCCGAAACCCGGUGAUCUAGCCAUGGGCAGGUUGAAGGUUGGGUAACACUAACUGGAGGACCGAACCGACUAAUGUUGAAAAAUUAGCGGAUGACUUGUGGCUGGGGGUGAAAGGCCAAUCAAACCGGGAGAUAGCUGGUUCUCCCCGAAAGCUAUUUAGGUAGCGCCUCGUGAAUUCAUCUCCGGGGGUAGAGCACUGUUUCGGCAAGGGGGUCAUCCCGACUUACCAACCCGAUGCAAACUGCGAAUACCGGAGAAUGUUAUCACGGGAGACACACGGCGGGUGCUAACGUCCGUCGUGAAGAGGGAAACAACCCAGACCGCCAGCUAAGGUCCCAAAGUCAUGGUUAAGUGGGAAACGAUGUGGGAAGGCCCAGACAGCCAGGAUGUUGGCUUAGAAGCAGCCAUCAUUUAAAGAAAGCGUAAUAGCUCACUGGUCGAGUCGGCCUGCGCGGAAGAUGUAACGGGGCUAAACCAUGCACCGAAGCUGCGGCAGCGACGCUGAUGCGUUGUUGGGUAGGGGAGCGUUCUGUAAGCCUGCGAAGGUGUGCUGUGAGGCAUGCUGGAGGUAUCAGAAGUGCGAAUGCUGACAUAAGUAACGAUAAAGCGGGUGAAAAGCCCGCUCGCCGGAAGACCAAGGGUUCCUGUCCAACGUUAAUCGGGGCAGGGUGAGUCGACCCCUAAGGCGAGGCCGAAAGGCGUAGUCGAUGGGAAACAGGUUAAUAUUCCUGUACUUGGUGUUACUGCGAAGGGGGGACGGAGAAGGCUAUGUUGGCCGGGCGACGGUUGUCCCGGUUUAAGCGUGUAGGCUGGUUUUCCAGGCAAAUCCGGAAAACUAAGGCUGAGGCGUGAUGACGAGGCACUACGGUGCUGAAGCAACAAAUGCCCUGCUUCCAGGAAAAGCCUCUAAGCAUCAGGUAACAUCAAAUCGUACCCCAAACCGACACAGGUGGUCAGGUAGAGAAUACCAAGGCGCUUGAGAGAACUCGGGUGAAGGAACUAGGCAAAAUGGUGCCGUAACUUCGGGAGAAGGCACGCUGAUAUGUAGGUGAAGCGACUUGCUCGUGGAGCUGAAAUCAGUCGAAGAUACCAGCUGGCUGCAACUGUUUAUUAAAAACACAGCACUGUGCAAACACGAAAGUGGACGUAUACGGUGUGACGCCUGCCCGGUGCCGGAAGGUUAAUUGAUGGGGUCAGCGCAAGCGAAGCUCUUGAUCGAAGCCCCGGUAAACGGCGGCCGUAACUAUAACGGUCCUAAGGUAGCGAAAUUCCUUGUCGGGUAAGUUCCGACCUGCACGAAUGGCGUAAUGAUGGCCAGGCUGUCUCCACCCGAGACUCAGUGAAAUUGAACUCGCUGUGAAGAUGCAGUGUACCCGCGGCAAGACGGAAAGACCCCGUGAACCUUUACUAUAGCUUGACACUGAACAUUGAGCCUUGAUGUGUAGGAUAGGUGGGAGGCUUUGAAGUGUGGACGCCAGUCUGCAUGGAGCCGACCUUGAAAUACCACCCUUUAAUGUUUGAUGUUCUAACGUGGACCCGUAAUCCGGGUUGCGGACAGUGUCUGGUGGGUAGUUUGACUGGGGCGGUCUCCUCCUAAAGAGUAACGGAGGAGCACGAAGGUUGGCUAAUCCUGGUCGGACAUCAGGAGGUUAGUGCAAUGGCAUAAGCCAGCUUGACUGCGAGCGUGACGGCGCGAGCAGGUGCGAAAGCAGGUCAUAGUGAUCCGGUGGUUCUGAAUGGAAGGGCCAUCGCUCAACGGAUAAAAGGUACUCCGGGGAUAACAGGCUGAUACCGCCCAAGAGUUCAUAUCGACGGCGGUGUUUGGCACCUCGAUGUCGGCUCAUCACAUCCUGGGGCUGAAGUAGGUCCCAAGGGUAUGGCUGUUCGCCAUUUAAAGUGGUACGCGAGCUGGGUUUAGAACGUCGUGAGACAGUUCGGUCCCUAUCUGCCGUGGGCGCUGGAGAACUGAGGGGGGCUGCUCCUAGUACGAGAGGACCGGAGUGGACGCAUCACUGGUGUUCGGGUUGUCAUGCCAAUGGCACUGCCCGGUAGCUAAAUGCGGAAGAGAUAAGUGCUGAAAGCAUCUAAGCACGAAACUUGCCCCGAGAUGAGUUCUCCCUGACUCCUUGA
RNAcentral lists this ribosomal RNA (2789 nucleotides) under Escherichia coli. RNAcentral's name for it is "bacterial LSU rRNA". It matches the Rfam family "Bacterial large subunit ribosomal RNA". The record is from RNAcentral. Lineage: Bacteria; Pseudomonadati; Pseudomonadota; Gammaproteobacteria; Enterobacterales; Enterobacteriaceae.